Molecule: ribosomal RNA, 1033 nt
Filed under: uncultured organism
Description: bacterial SSU rRNA
Rfam family: Bacterial small subunit ribosomal RNA
Source: RNAcentral
AGUGGCAGACGGGUGAGUAACACGUAGGAAUCUACCCAGUAGUGGGGAAUAGCCUCGGGAAACCGAGGGUAAUACCGCAUACUCUCUACGGAGAAAAGGUCUUCGGAUCGCUAUUGGAGGAGCCUGCGCGCUAUCAGCUAGUUGGUACGGUAACGGCGUACCAAGGCUAUGACGGCUAGCCGAUGUGAGAGCAUGAUCGGCCACAAGGUUACUGAGACACGGAGCCUACACCUACGGGUGGCAGCAACCGGGAAUUUUGCGCAAUGGGCGAAAGCCUGACGCAGCGACACCGCGUGUGGGAAGACGCUCUUCGGAGUGUAAACCACUGUGGCAGGGGACGAAAUUUUGACGGUACCCUGCUAGAAAGCACCUGCUAACCACGUGCCAGAAGCCUCGGUAAUACGUGGGGUGCAAGCGUUAUCCGGAAUCACUGGGCGUAAAGCGUCCGUCGGCGGUUUGGUAAGUUGACUGUUUAAGCCUAGGGCUCAACUCUAGAUCGGCAGUCAAAACUACCUAACUUGAAUUAGUUCGGGGUAGCCGGAAUUCUUGGUGGAGGGGUGAAAUCCGUAGAUAUCAAGAGGAACGCCAGUCGCGAAGGCGAGCUACUAGAACUUAAUUGACGCUCAGGGACGAAAGCUUGGGUAGCAAAGCGGAUUAGAGACCCGUGUAGUCCAAGCCGUAAAUGCUGGAUGCUAGCUUCCUGUACUUUUAGUAUGGGGGGCGUAAGUUAACGCGUUAAGCAUCCCGCCUGGGGAGUACGGCCGCAAGGCUAAAACUCAAAGGAAUUGACGGGGGAGCGCACAACCGGUGGAGCAUGUGGUUUAAUUCGAUACAAAGCGAAAAACCUUACCUGGGUUUGACAUCUAGCUGCAUGCUUUACGAAAGUAAAGCAGCCUUCGAGGGUGCUAGACAGGUGAUGCAUGGCUGUCGUCAGCUCGUGUUGUGAGACGUCAAAGUAAGUGCGGUAACGAGCGCAACCCUUGUCCUGUGUUAUACAAGUCACAGGAGACUGCCGUUGUAUAUCAAGGGAGGA